GGACUACUCGGGUAUCUAAUCCUGUUCGCUCCCCACGCUUUCGCUCCUCAGCGUCAGUAUUGGCCCAGAUCACCGCCUUCGCUACUGGUGUUCUUCCUGAUAUCUGCGCAUUCCACCGCUACACCAGGAGUUCCGUGAUCCCCUACCAAACUCUAGUCACAACAGUUUCACGUGGCGGCCCCAGGUUGAGCCUGGGGGAUUAACACGUGACUUAUUGAACCGCCUACGAGCUCUUUACGCCCAAUAAAUCCGAAUAACGCUUGCACCCUAUGUAUUACCGCGGCUGCUGGCAC
This 293-nucleotide ribosomal RNA is filed under the name uncultured bacterium. RNAcentral's name for it is "partial 16S ribosomal RNA". The record is from RNAcentral.